This 3335-nucleotide long non-coding RNA is filed under the name Ovis aries (sheep). Its description in RNAcentral is "lncRNA (ENSOARG00000026412.1)". Lineage: Eukaryota; Metazoa; Chordata; Mammalia; Artiodactyla; Bovidae. The record is from RNAcentral.
AUGCAUUGUAGUAAGGAUCUUCCACAGUUUUCUAAGUCUAAUCCUAUGACCCAAAGGAAAUGGCUUGCUCUCUCCCAGGGCUCAGAACAGGCACCCUUCAGCUGUCAGAUCCUUGAGCCUCUCAUUCAAACCUCUUGUCUUACAGAUGAGGAUACCAGGGUCCAGGACGGUAAACGCCUGGGCAAUGGGCAUGGAAGCAAGUUUCUCUCCAGACGCCUAGCGCUCUGUCCACCGGUUGGCCCGUCCCUCAAGCGCCCCCUGGCUUCUCACUCCUCUUUCGCUGCUGCACCUCCUCCUCCCGUCUGCACUAGAAAACACACGAACUCCAAACACACGAACAACACACAAGUCCUUUUCCCUGGAGUUGUGUCCAAGCCAUUUGGGCGCUCAGCAAGCAAGACGGCCUUUUAUGAAACGGCAUUCACCUGAGCAAGAAGACAGCUAAGGAUAUAAAUGACAAAGUUUUUCAUUCUGUUGUUUGACUGGCUUUUGUUUGUGUUUCCCUCCCAAGAUGAAUCUCACACAAAUCCUUGGGUGCAAGGAACUCUUCUGGGAGGUGAGGCCCGGGAGCAGGAGAGAAGGAAGAAGGAAGGUGAGACUGGGAAAAAACUCAUAAAACGUGUAUAGCACGGUGAUUCCUAUGUGUUUGGCAGAGGCUGGCCUCUGCAGGAAUCUCCGUGAAGCAUUGCCAGUCAGAACUGUCUGUUUACAACUCAAGAGGCUGGAGGAUGCGCGUUCCUGUCCCUCAUCAUUUGAGUUGCCCAGAAAGUAGUUACCCUCCCCCCACAUUUCCAGACUGCUUAUGAGCUAAAUGGGAUGCCACAUCUACAAAGAAAGCUCAGAGGCAGAGGCAAAGAGACCCGAGGCACGCGUGCUUGGAACUGUCCAUCUGCUGUGGCUGAGCGUGGGGGUGGCCAGGUCCGUGUGGAGCAAGACGCUGGUGGCAUCUUCUGCAGAGCGGAGCGAAUGCACUAGCCCAGCGGCUCUUCCCCCCCUCUCCCCUGCCCAUCCCCUGACCCUUCAGACAGGUGGCUCAUCAUGAGAUGCUGACCACGCCUGAACUCCAGCCAGGUCUCUCUCUUAUCCUGGGAUUCCACUUCCCUACCCUACGAAACAUGGUGGAGGGCAUGCGUGUGCGCCGUGCUGACACCAGGAGCAAUGAUGGCUGAGCUGGAGGCUGUCUUCAGCUCUCAGGAGGCAGGAGAGGAAGGGCCAAGGAGGAACUCUGUGCCUGUGUGGCCUGGGGCUGAUCAGUGGCCAGGAGCCAACCACCAGCCUCUUAUGCUGCUGUGACUGCACGCCCCCUGGGAUGAGAGGUGAGGCAGGCAGGGAGGAUGCGGAGGAGCUAUCCCUUGCGGGGGGGGCGGGGUCUUUGCCACCAGCAAUUGGCUGAGCCAGCUCUGGUGCAGAGUGUCCAUGAACCCCCUUUUCUGGCCAUGGAGUGGUGGAGGUGGAGGUGAGACGAGGGCCAGGCCAGGGAGCUGCCCAGCUUGAGGAAGCGGGAGCACAGGAGUGGGCCUAACCCAGGCACGGGUGGAUUGGGGGCCAGACCCUGCUGGGCGGCCCAAGGGGCACAGAAGCACAGACAUGUUCUGCUUCUGAGGCAGCCAGGACGUUGGUGAGGACCGUGGCUGGGGCAAGGGGAUCAGCGUGAGGCCUUCCUAUGGUGUGCAGACCCUGUACUGCAUCAGUGAGGGCACUUUAGUGUGGGCAGGUGUUCCUUGCCACCUAGGGCAUCGGCUCACACAAUGCCAGGCAGGCCUUGCUGUAAGCGUCAUCCUGAUCUGACAGAUAAAGAAUCAGCUGCCCAGAGAGGUCAUGUGACUUGCUUAGAUGACACUGUGCAUAACUGGGGACGUGGAUCCUGGGACUCAGACCGUCUGGGUCCAGGGUGGGUUCCUGACCAUGUACGACCCUGCUUCCUUCUUGGGCUUGCACUGCUGAUGACAGCCUUGUGCCACCAUAGCUCAUCUUGCUUCCAUGUGAGCCCUGCUUCUAGACAUAGUCAGUGAUGGGCACAGUCAGCGCUUGCUGCUCUGGAGCUCAGAAUUCCUGUUUAGGGCUCAAGAAUGGCCUGGACCCCUAGGGUCUCAGCCCCAGAUGCUAGGAUACGGCUCAGUUUUCUCUGUGGCUGUUGUUUAUUUUUAAUCAGAGAGCUGUGUCUCUAGCCCAGCACUGCUCACAUCCUCCUGCCUGUCUGUUUUUGAACAUGGGCUCCGCAUAUUUUCCUCAUAUCCCCCCAACUCCCAACUUUAAUUAGAGAGCACAAUUGGCUCACAGCCUCGCUCCUGGCAUUGCCUCCCCGGGCACUCCCUGUGCCUGAGUCUCGGCUCUUUCCAGAGAGAAUGACCCGAGGAUGUGCGGGACGGCUUAGAGCGCAGGUAAUCAGCGGGAUGGGCCUCUGAGGAGAGGAGAGGGUGAUGCCGUCCCCAGAACCACAGAAGCUGCACAAGAGACGACAUCUGACCCUGGAGAAAGCUCUUCCCAACUGCUCCGAGGCAGGCAAAGCUCAGAACAGGAUGUGAUGAGAACACUAAAUUCCAGUGGAAAUGACAGAAGGCUGUCGAUAAACGGUAGAUAUUCGUCCCAGUUGAGACCCAACGCAGAAGCUCGACGCAAAUGGCGCCUUAGUGACUCGCAUAAAAUAAAAUGGAAUGAAGUCUUGAAAGCAAAGGAAAAAUACAUAAAACAUUGCUCAGUUCCAUGACUUAGGUUGCCGUGCAUUUUCAACAAAGUUGGAUUUAGGUUUUGUGAGCAGAAGUCACCAGGGGGUUGGUUGAACGCAGGAAGUGAUUCUCCCAUGAAACUCUUACUAGAAAAAUCUCCUGGGGAAAUCUCACUACAAAGCCUACUUGCCAGUCUGGCCAUGAUUGGCAGGCAUUUGCUGGUGACUGAGGUAGGAAUCUGCCUGCCAAUGUAGGAGAAGUAGGUUCAAUCCCUGGGGUCAGGAAGAUCCCCUGGAGAAGUAAAUGGCAACCCACUCCAGUAUUCUUGCCUGGGAAAUCCUAUGGACAGAGGAGCCUGGAGGGCUACAGUCCCUGGGGUCACAAAAGAGUCAGAUACGACCUAGCCACUAAACAGCAGCAAGAAGACGGAUUGGACCGAGGGCUCUUUUAGGAGUAAGACCACUGCUGUGACAUCAGUAGUAGUCUGGAAAACACAGAAACGCUGAGUGGAGGAGACACUGACCUUCCCCCAGGUUAAUAACCCAAACAAAGCUAUUUCUUGUCAUGUCGCUGCUUCGUUACCAUCAUCUUUCCCAUGAAUUUUUGUGACCAUCCUGCGUAAACAGAUUUUGUAUAUUGUUUUCUCCUCAAAUGGCCUUCUCCAUGUUA